Long non-coding RNA from Mizuhopecten yessoensis (Yesso scallop), 1109 nucleotides. RefSeq lists it as uncharacterized. The transcript has 2 exons. Lineage: Eukaryota; Metazoa; Mollusca; Bivalvia; Pectinida; Pectinidae. The record is from RefSeq and is a predicted model, not a curated record.
CACAGAAACUGCUAUACACAUAGCCAAACUUCUAACGGCUGCGAAGUUUGAUGUGAAAGAAUUAUCAAAGUCCUCAACUAUAAUUGAAUGUGAAGGAAUUGGACUUGAAAAUGAGCAAUUGUGACUGUCUUAUUCGUUGUUACAAAACAUCUUUCACAGUAAUUUAUCUGUGACAAAAUCUUUCUUUUUUGGUAAGGGGCUUUGCUUGUGUAUUUGACAUCCAUGGUUAGGAUGUUAAUGCAGGCCAUGGAAGUCUUUGUGCUUAGAACACAAGUAUGUUAAUAUUUAUUUCAUUAGCAAUCCGAUUUAGUAAAACCGUUUGGAAUGUUAUGCUUGAAUGGAACAAAUGCUGUUGUGUUGUCUACAAUCUACCUGUUACCUACAUGUAUACCACACUGCAGGUAAACCAAACUGCUGCGGAGUUUAUAAUCUACCUGUUACCUACAUGUAUACUACACUGCAGGUAAACAAGACUGCUGCUAUAGACUUUUAUAAUGCAUCAAUUUUAGAUAAAAGCAAAACUAGAAAUGAUUGAAGACUAAUACAUAAGCAACAAAAUGUACAAUUGAAAAGUUCUGUAUAGCAAAGGUAAACACAAAACAAUAUACCACAGCCUCAAUACUCAUAAGAAACACCAUGUCUGAAUAGAAAACGACAAGACACCUUACCAAAAGUCGAAGAACACUGUAAAAAAGCGAAGGUUAAACAAUGCGUUCAAGAAUUGCAAAUAUUUACUUUAACGCCAGUCAUUGAGAACAUUUAGAAAUGAUUGACGCUUUACUUGGAGCAAACUUGGAGGAAAAAACAUCGAUCUUGAGCGUCCAAUACAAAGUUUGGGUUAUAAUGUGUGUGUGUAUACAAAAUAUCGUACUUUAUCAGACACACGAAACAUUCUAUUUUUGGCCUUAAAUUGUUCACUUUAACCCUUUUCAGACCCUUUCUAGUACCAUUACCUUGGCAAUGCACGUUGACAUGUUUUGGAAAUCUAGUGCAUAUCUUGUAUGUUAUAUGUAAUGUUUAUAUCUAAUGAUAGAUAAAGGUUGACAUAAUAUGUUUAUCUGUAUUGACAUUAUAUUUAUUGCAAUGAAUAAAUCACGUAAUGAAUUCAA